AUGCACUUAUAUGCUUGGUGGAAAUUGUGCAUUCCGAAGAAGAAAGGGGGUUUGGGGUUUAGAGACUGUUUUAACCUUGCUAUCUUAGCAAAACAGUGUUGGCGACUAUUCCAGAACCCGAAUUCUUUAUGUGCGUGAGUUUAAUGUGGUAAGUAUUAUCUGAAUGGUGACAUUUUAAAGGCUGGGCCGAAGAAGAGAUGUUCAUACACUUGGCAUCGUAUUGUGGUAGGCAUACAAACCUUUCAAACGGGGUGCAUUUUACAUGUGGAAUCGGGUUCACAUAUUAAUUUAUGUCUAGUCCAUGGAUUCCAUCGAGUCCAUCAUGAAAGGUUAAUAUACCAAGAGGUGUAA
Molecule: ribosomal RNA, 351 nt
Filed under: Triticum aestivum (bread wheat)
Lineage: Eukaryota; Viridiplantae; Streptophyta; Magnoliopsida; Poales; Poaceae
Description: partial small subunit ribosomal RNA
Source: RNAcentral